Bos indicus x Bos taurus (hybrid cattle) is the source of this 626-nucleotide long non-coding RNA. Lineage: Eukaryota; Metazoa; Chordata; Mammalia; Artiodactyla; Bovidae. The record is from Ensembl.
UUGUGAAUUUCCUCAACGUGGACAGAAAGGUUAAAGCAAUAAGAACCUGUGGUCACUGACCUUCCUUGGAGCCUGGUUUCUGAAAGCACUUAUGUUGAUGUGUCAGCCUAACUCUCUAGAGCUUACAGGAAAACUAUGCUCUACUCCGGAAGCUGCUAUGAGCCAGCGGCUAUGAACUUGUGGCCCAACCACAGGGAAUCAGGAACUUCUGAGUUACAGCCCAGACUCAACUGAUCCUCGCUGACUGACCUCAAUAUCCAUCUGAAAACAGUUACAGAAGCCCUGGGAACAAACUGGCUGACACUUCUGCGUUGCUCAUCACCUCAGUGAAGAUCCAGCGGACGGCCACCCUGGACCUUCUGUUACCACCCACCCAAUAGACACGUGUGGAUGUACUCAGUCAUGCCCGACUCUUUGCAACCCCACGGACUGUAGCCGGCCAGGCUCCAGCUGUCCAUGGGAUUGUUCAGGCAAGAAUACUGAAGUGGGUUGCCAUUUUCUCCUCCAGAGGACCUUCCUGAUCCAGGGAUCAAGUUUGCAUCUCCUGAGUCUCCUUCAUGGGCAGGCAGAUUCUUUCCCACACCUGGGAAGCCCCUUAAACUUUAGACUCAGCCAUAAUCUGUAAG